Non-coding RNA from Pelodiscus sinensis (Chinese soft-shelled turtle), 2419 nucleotides. The record is from RefSeq and is a predicted model, not a curated record. NCBI's taxonomy places the organism in Eukaryota, Metazoa, Chordata, Testudines, Trionychidae.
AACAACAUAUAUGCAUAUUCAUCAUUUGCUUAAUGAAUAUGCAAAUUAAUGUUACCAUCCUCUAAAUGCUCGUGAAUAGAUUUACUGGUCCCUGGUGUCAAAAAGUUUGGGAACCCCCGUUGUAAUACAUAGCGAUGUUAGUGUUAGAUAAGGCCUUGCAGUAGAUAGAAAACAGUUUAAUGCGGAAAGACUUUGUAACUUUGUUAAAGUGACUAGCAGUACCCCCUUUUCCAUGCUGCAAUUAUGUAAAUGUAUUGUUUGCGUGAAUGAGAGAGAGAAUGUUUUAGGAAAGAUAAGUGUGAAGGCCACUGCAUGCUCAAAUGGCCAGAGGAGGAGCUGGAGACUCAGAAGCACCAAAUAAUAAUCAAAGCACACCGAAGACAGACUACCUGGGCAGAUUGACAAACCCUGAAACUAGAGGCAAGCACCCCUUAAUAGGGAACCAAUCAUAACUUUUGCUGGAAAGACAACAUUCCUGAGGGGUUGUCAGCAUACUGAUAUCAGAUGACUGUGAGAACUUCUUCCCAAUAAGCACAUGUUAUAAGAAGAUUGAUUGUGAUGCUGAAUGACUAAUUACAGCAUGACGAGGCAAAAUGCAUAGACUUGCAUGGAAAGAAAUAUCCUAUAAAAGAUGGGGUGUUUUGUAGGGUUCUUUGGGUUCUGUCCUGCUAAGAUCAUGACCAGGAGGGGCAUCAGUCCGGACAAUAGGUUGGGCCGAGCAACUUAAUUAUAAGCAUUCCAUCAGAGUGUGUGUGUGUGUGUGUGCGCGCAUAUGCUAUUUCAUUAUAUCAUCAAUAAAUGCGGCAUGUUGCCUUAUCCCCCCAAAAAAGAUCCCGUGUGCUUCUUUUAAGCAUAACACUGUGGUUAAGAGCAGGGCCGGCUUUAGGCCGAUUCCCCAGAAUGAGGCCCCGCGCCUAAGGGAGCCCCGCGCCCGGCACACGCACAGGCUCCGCCGCCAGGCACACACGCAGGCCCCGUCUCUGGAAUCAGACCCCGUGCAUCUUAAAGCCGGCCCUGGUUAAGAGAUAAUAUGCUGCUUGUUUACUUGAAGGGUUUGCAACAAUGUAGCUGUAUCAUAGCAGUUGAACUGGUCUAAAAACACUCUAACCAACCGUACACCAUUACAGAUAAUUUGAAAAGAACGGACUCAAGAGUUCUCUAUUGUUAUGGAAUCUGUCCACACAAGUGGGGCUGUAUUCAUCAAAAGAGGUAAACUGCACAUUGUGGACCAGAUUCAGAUCUGCUAUUUUCUGGUUGAACCUCUUCAAUCCAGCACCCUCAGGACCUGACAUGUGCCAAACCAGAGAAUUUGCAGAAACAUGGAAGGUCAAUAUGAAGAGGACAGCACAAACUGAAGAGAAGAAUUGGAAAAAAAACUGAUAAGCCUCACAAAAAUUGUAUGAAAGAUAGAUGUACAACAGCCCUAUAAUUGUCUUUCAAAGGAAUUGUGACCAGAAGUGACACAGAGUAAAGAGGUUGGAACUACGUCUGUAGCUGAGGGCAGUGAAGAAGGAACUGAGAGGAAUCAGGCUGCGUGCGUUAACUUCAAAGGCAGGAACACCAUGGGCCUCACGCACAUUUGCAGCCCGACUAGACACUGCUCUGAAAGUCUCCAAUAUGUGGUGCUGGGACAAGCCCAACACCAACAAUGGAGCAUCCACAGGGACAUCACUCGAAGAAGAACUAGCUUUAUUGGCAUCAGUUCUGUUCAGUUAUGAUGUGACCUAAUAAAGCUACAAGCAAAUAGUGUAGCUAUAUACGCUUAUGCAAUCCAACUCCAAUCCACAUAUUAGUUUUUGCAAACAAAUCGAAGGGUGCAUGUAAACAUUCAAAGCUUGCACAUACUUUUGAAAGUUCAGUUCUUAAAUAUGAAAUUACUUAAAAACUCCUACAUAUUUAAUACCAAAAAUUGAUGUAUCUUAAACAGACCCAACUAUAAUUAUAGUAACUGUACCAUAGUGAGAUACAACAUAAUAGUAAUUUAUUCCAUGAAUAAGACCCAGUUCAGUAUGCGAACAAUCCCAAUGAUAUCAAAUUAAUUAGGAUUAUAAUCAUUUUGUCUCCUCUGCCAUGUUUAUGCCAAUAUAUUAGGACAGAUUUCCAGGAGAUAGAGUGGGAGACAUUACUUGUCUAGGAGGAAAAAGCAGACAGUGGUAAGAACUGUGUGAAAAAGGUUGAUGCAGGCUUUUAAAGCAUUCCAAACAGAAUUUGAACAAAAAGCUGCUAAAGAAAGCAUCCCAGGUAAUGUUAAUACUGAAAAAUAUAUACCAUUAUGCUUCAGGAAAAAUCAAAUAUAAAAUGAAAAAUAGAGUUGCAAUUCAAACACAAGUGCUAGUUGAUUAUUUAUUGAAAGCUAUUUCUGCCUACCACUCUUCCCCCAACAAAUUUGUUCAAUUUGUGUCUAUCAGCUCUUUUUGGC